Molecule: transfer RNA, 66 nt
Filed under: Ictidomys tridecemlineatus (thirteen-lined ground squirrel)
Lineage: Eukaryota; Metazoa; Chordata; Mammalia; Rodentia; Sciuridae
Description: Spermophilus tridecemlineatus (thirteen-lined ground squirrel) tRNA
Rfam family: tRNA
About the family: Transfer RNA (tRNA) molecules are approximately 80 nucleotides in length. Their secondary structure includes four short double-helical elements and three loops (D, anti-codon, and T loops).
Source: Rfam by way of RNAcentral
GGGGUUGUAGCUCAGUGGUAGAGCUUGCCUUGCACGCAUGAACCCUGGGUUCGAUCCUCAGCACCA